Camelus ferus (Wild Bactrian camel) is the source of this 73-nucleotide transfer RNA. It matches the Rfam family "tRNA". From Rfam's summary of the family: Transfer RNA (tRNA) molecules are approximately 80 nucleotides in length. Their secondary structure includes four short double-helical elements and three loops (D, anti-codon, and T loops). NCBI's taxonomy places the organism in Eukaryota, Metazoa, Chordata, Mammalia, Artiodactyla, Camelidae. The record is from Rfam.
GAGGGUAUAGCUCAAGUGGUAGAGUACAUGCUUAGCAUGCACAAGGUCCUGGGUUCUAUCCCCAGUACCUCUA